RNAcentral lists this long non-coding RNA (537 nucleotides) under Vigna radiata. RNAcentral's name for it is "long non-coding RNA (VRAD_LNC011033)". The record is from RNAcentral. Lineage: Eukaryota; Viridiplantae; Streptophyta; Magnoliopsida; Fabales; Fabaceae.
GAAAGAUAAAAAAGGUGCUCACUAGGUGUACAAAGUGCAACGUCGAAACUUCUAUGCGACGCAUAGUAGAUGUCAAACAUAGCCGUAGAGUGGUAAAGCAAAUGCCGUAGAGUAAUUGGAGAAGAGCAUACUUCGAAAGCGGAGUGGCUACAAUUUAUUCUGGGAAGCUGAGUGGUUGGGAAAUUUAGCCUGCAAUUAAGAACAUGGUUUAGAGAGGAUUCAACGCAACAAAAUGCAACUGAGAAAGAGGAGAGGUCGAAACACAAGAUUUGGAACCAAGGAAAAACGACGAUUGUUGUAGCUUUAGAUAUAACAUUCAUGAUAGACAAGCAUCGGGAGACUAGCAAUGUCCGACGAGCACCAGCCGACGAGCGAUUGGAGCACCUGUGAUGGUUUCAUGAUGGGGAAGGUGAAAGGAAAACAAAAACAAAAACAAAAACCAAAAGGCAUUUAUCUUUUGAGAACUCGCGCUCAGAUUUUGAAAUUGGGGAAAAAGUAAAGUGAGUGGAAAAUCUUGGGAGGGAAAGAAAAAAAAAA